Gallus gallus (chicken) is the source of this 745-nucleotide long non-coding RNA. The record is from Ensembl. NCBI's taxonomy places the organism in Eukaryota, Metazoa, Chordata, Aves, Galliformes, Phasianidae.
UGUCUUCCUCAGCAGGAGUGUGACCCUCUGUGGCUUUCACAAUUAUGCUGUCUGGUUGCGAGUCACCAGAGGAGCAGGAAGGAAACAGAAGAGAGGAUGCCCUUUGUUUCUCAAAGAACUGUGCCUCAGAAGCUGACUGCAGACUGUAUAAGGAGAGAUGCUCCACUUUCUUCACCAUCUUCAUGGCUCUUUGCUGUACUAUUUUCAGUAGCUCCAUGUCUCCAACAAGAGCACAGAAUGACAGAAUCACAGAAUGGCCUGGGUUGGAAGAGACCUCAAGGAUCAUGAAUCUCCAAACUGCCUGCCGGACAGGGCCACCAACCUCCCCAUUUACUAGACCAGGUUGCCCAGGGUCCCAUCCAACCUGGCCUUGAACACCUCCAGGGACGGAGCAUCUACAACCUCUCUGGGCAGCCCGUUCCAGCACCUCACCACUCUCCUGGGGCUCUUCAAAUGGAACCAGGAAAUGCUUGUGGAAGUUCAGAAAGCUGCUAAAAUGAGGGACCUGUGGAAUUUCCAUCUGGAGACAGUCAUUUAUCAACAGGUGAAGCAGAAGGGAGCAAACAUGCUAAAAAAGCUGGUCAUGGUAAAUAAAACAUACAUAAAAAGAAAAAGGAAGCAAAGGCUCAGAGAUGUAUAUUAGAUGAUAGUCGUGAUUAAAUCUAUGUUUGCAAAUGUAUAUUUUUGUUCAUUCAAAACCAAAUUUCUGUUUAAAUGAGUGACUAGCCCCAAAAAGUCUGUUUUG